RNAcentral lists this ribosomal RNA (332 nucleotides) under uncultured bacterium. RNAcentral's name for it is "bacterial SSU rRNA". It matches the Rfam family "Bacterial small subunit ribosomal RNA", at positions 240 to 574 of the family's 1533-position model. The record is from RNAcentral.
AUUAGGUUGUUGGUGAGGUAAGAGCUUACCAAGCCGAAAAUACUUAGUUGGUCUGAGAGGAUGAUCAGCCACACUAGGACUGAGAUAAGGCCUAGGCUUUAUACCCAGCACUGGGGAAUCUUGGACAAUGGGCGAAAGCUUGAUCCAGUAAUACUGCGUGAAUGAGGAAAGCAAAAAAGAUUUAUUAAUUUAGAUCGGUUGUAAAGUUAUUUCGCUAAUUAAGAUAUUGACACUAAUUAGAAAAGAAGCCCCGGCUAACUUCGUGCCAGCAGCCGCGGUAAUACGAAGGGGGCUAGCGUUAUUCGGAAUGAUUGGGUGUAAAGAGUUUGUAG